This 465-nucleotide ribosomal RNA is filed under the name uncultured bacterium. RNAcentral describes it as "bacterial SSU rRNA". It matches the Rfam family "Bacterial small subunit ribosomal RNA", at positions 338 to 795 of the family's 1533-position model. The record is from RNAcentral.
CCUACGGGGGGCAUCAGUAGGGAAUCUUCGGCAAUGGACGAAAGUCUGACCGAGCAACGCCGCGUGAGUGAAGAAGGUUCUCGGAUCGUAAAACUCUGUUGUUAGAGAAGAACAAGUAGGAGAGUAACUGCUCUUACCUUGACGGUAUCUAACCAGAAAGCCACGGCUAACUACGUGCCAGCAGCCGCGGUAAUACGUAGGUGGCAAGCGUUGUCCGGAUUUAUUGGGCGUAAAGCGAGCGCAGGCGGUCUUUUAAGUCUGAUGUGAAAGCCCUCGGCUCAACCGAGGAAGGUCAUUGGAAACUGGAGGACUUGAGUGCAGAAGAGGAGAGUGGAAUUCCAUGUGUAGCGGUGAAAUGCGUAGAUAUUGGGAGGAACACCAGUGGCGAAGGCGGCCUGCUGGACAUUAACUGACGCUCAGGUGCGAAAGCGUGGGGAGCAAACAGGAUUAGAUACCCUCGUAGUC